Molecule: long non-coding RNA, 508 nt
Organism: Papaver somniferum (opium poppy)
Lineage: Eukaryota; Viridiplantae; Streptophyta; Magnoliopsida; Ranunculales; Papaveraceae
Exons: 3
Source: RefSeq, a predicted model, not a curated record
GACUGCAGCAAGUAAUUUAAUGAGAGUAAAAAAAAGUGAAUUUUGUUUUCGGCGGGGGCAUGUGCUAAGAAAAUCUUGUUGAGAGAAGAAGAAAACAGUACUCCCCUCCCCUCCCCUCCCAUAAUACAUACAACUCUCAAGUUCUCAGAGUAGAAGAACUUCAAAGAAAGAGAAGAAUAGCACACUGUAUCUAGAGAGAGAGGCAGUCAGUGCAAUGAAGAUAACCAAGAAGAAGAAGAAGAAGAAGAAGAAAAGCAUUUUGGGAGUUGGUUUCUCUGUCCCCAUAGCACCAUCAAAGGACCAAAUGGGACAUUGUUUUGAUGGAUGGUUCAAGAUGACAAUGAUGGACAGAGCUAUUGAGGAAGCUUCAUUUCUCUUUUGAUUUAUUUUUGUUAGCAUUUUGAUGAUAUUGGCAUGAAGUGGCUCAAUCUUAGUGUAUGUGUACGUAAUAACCUUGUAUUAUACUACAAUUAUUUCAAAGUUCUCAAGGAUUUUCGUUUUGUUGUUU